This is a non-coding RNA of Paramuricea clavata, 204 nucleotides long. The record is from the annotation of a GenBank genome assembly. Lineage: Eukaryota; Metazoa; Cnidaria; Anthozoa; Malacalcyonacea; Plexauridae.
CCUAUCUUAAACGAUCCAGUGCUGAAAUACAUCAACAUUCGACAAGGGCCACAAGGCGAAAAACUCACGAUAUCUGCCAAACCAGUUACAACCAGAAACUGCAGUGUCCCAUAAACGUUGAAAAAACACAAAUAUUUCUCGUAGUCUUGUAUUUCGGUUCAAUUUUCAUCAAAUAUUUGAAAAAAUUGCAACAGGAAAGCACAC